CAUGCAACUAAAGCCGAAUCCCGGACAUUUUUGCAAAUUUAGAAAUCCCGGCCGGAUGCUUUUUUAAGGUCUGUAAUAGAGGACAUGUCCGGGAAAAAGAGGACGUAUGGUCACCCUAAAUUCACCAAACUUCAUUAAAUAUAUGUGCAGUCUUUUUAUCCGGUGCAGAGAUAACUAGAAAGGGGUAAUCCAAUUCCCUAGAGGGGGAGAGAGUUAUGUUAUGGAAAAUUGAUAUGUUCCCCUGCGCUGCACUCCUCAGUCUGCAAGAAGCACUCUAAGGAAAAUCUGAAGCAUAGCAGAGUUUUCCAGGAGUAGUCAGUUACAGAGGUGAAGGGCCAGGGAUGUCUUCUGAGUCUCUCCACAUGUCUUCACUAUCUUUCCACUAUUCAUAAACCAGAAAUACUAUGAUAAUAUAGCUGAGAAAACAGCUUUUGUUGACAUAAUUUUUCAAUGUCAUUGAUGCCUAAACAAUGCUGUGCAUCUUAUGCUUACAGUAAUAACUAUUUCUAUGUGCAGCAUCUCAGAAAAAUUGGAGUGCUUGGAAGUAAAGAAAUCUUCACUAUAAAGUAAUUGCCAUUAAUUCAUUGCCCUGUCUUAUCUCUAUCAACAGGCAGAUACCUACUGGCCACAUGCACAUAAACACAAUCAGUUUUUCAUGAGCUCAUGACCUAAAUAGUAAUGUGACACAACAAAUAACCAUUUAACCAGAUGCAAUGUUCAAACCCCAAAUC
Molecule: long non-coding RNA, 731 nt
Organism: Myxocyprinus asiaticus (Chinese sucker)
Lineage: Eukaryota; Metazoa; Chordata; Actinopteri; Cypriniformes; Catostomidae
Exons: 3
Source: RefSeq, a predicted model, not a curated record